UGAUGUAGUCCAUUAUUGAGGUAUAUGU
RNAcentral lists this small RNA (28 nucleotides) under Bombyx mori (domestic silkworm). RNAcentral's name for it is "ovarian small RNA-32905". Lineage: Eukaryota; Metazoa; Arthropoda; Insecta; Lepidoptera; Bombycidae. The record is from RNAcentral.